RNAcentral lists this ribosomal RNA (333 nucleotides) under uncultured bacterium. RNAcentral's name for it is "bacterial SSU rRNA". It matches the Rfam family "Bacterial small subunit ribosomal RNA", at positions 1 to 334 of the family's 1533-position model. The record is from RNAcentral.
GAGAGAUACUCAGAGUUUGAUCCUGGCUCAGGAUUAACGCUGGCGGCAUGCCUAAUACAUGCAAAUCGAACGAAGCCUUUUUGGCUUAGUGGUGAACGGGUGAGUAACGCGUAUCCAAUCUACCCUUAAGUUUGGGAUAACUAGUCGAAAGAUUAGCUAAUACCGGAUAAUAACAUUUACUUGCAUGAGUGAAUGUAGAAAGUUGCGUUUGCAACGCUUUUGGAUGAGGGUGCGACGUAUCAGAUAGUUGGUGAGGUAACGGCUCACCAAGUCAUUGACGCGUAGCUGUACUGAGAGGUAGAACAGCCACAAUGGGACUGAGACACGGCCCAU